UUCGUCCCAUCACUACUAUGGUGGAAAAACUUAAUGUCAAAGAGCUUGGACCAGAUCAGCCCGACGUAAAGAUAAGCCAGCAGGACAAGGAGAGAGAUAAGGCAUGGAUGAGUCAGGAGUUACGGACAUGAAACAUUUUUCUGAGAAGGUGAAGAAACACGAGUCAUCCCGGGCACACAUGGACAACAACACUGUGAAGCUAGCCAUGCUAGGCAGCAGAGCUAACGUUGCCAUGCAGCUCGACAAGGGAACAACAGCAGCUGGGUGCAGAGGUUUUCCACACCAUCCUGAGCCAUGCAAAAGAAGAUUCUUGUCACCACACCCAUGACCACAGCCGAAUCAGAAAGGUGCUUUUCCACUUUAAAGAGGAUUAAGACUUUCCUGAGGAACACCAUGACACAGGAUGGGCUGAAUGCUCUUGCCAUGCUCUCCAUGGAAAAACAAGCUUGUCACAAACAUUCCUGACUUCAAUAAAAAGCUCAUCGAGAGCUUUGCUACUCAGAAGGACAGAAGGGCAAAAUUUCUGUACAAAUGAGGUAUCACACACACACAAAUGCAUCCACUUGAUCUUUGUAUAAAGUUGACCUUGGCACAACACUCCAGAAAUAUUUAACAGUGUAAAUUUCUGGCAUUUUGUCUAAGUAGUGUUUACUACCAUUACUGUAACAGUGACCUGCUCAUAAUUUUUCGUGUUCACUCAAAUGUUGAAAUUAAACAAAAUGUUUUUGUUA
Non-coding RNA from Nothobranchius furzeri (turquoise killifish), 731 nucleotides. NCBI's taxonomy places the organism in Eukaryota, Metazoa, Chordata, Actinopteri, Cyprinodontiformes, Nothobranchiidae. The record is from RefSeq and is a predicted model, not a curated record.